RNAcentral lists this long non-coding RNA (1414 nucleotides) under Anser cygnoides (Swan goose). Its description in RNAcentral is "lncRNA (ENSACDG00005002944.1)". Lineage: Eukaryota; Metazoa; Chordata; Aves; Anseriformes; Anatidae. The record is from RNAcentral.
AAAAACACGGGCGUUGAUGAGAAGAGCAACCUCUUUCCCUGGCAGACGUGACGGCGCCCUGCUGCUGGACACCCCCACUCCCCGAGCCACGAGGCUUUCUGCAGGGUUUGUCUGGGCCCAAAGGGACAAACCUGCUGCAGCCCAGUUAAGAGGUUUUUCCCACCUGUUUCUUUCUCAGUCUCAGUUAUAUGAAGGUUAUCUUUGGAGCUGAUCAGAAUUAGCAAAUUAGCUGAAGGGGAGAUCUCUGCUUCCCCCCCCCCCAUCACAGACCAUAAUUUGUCCUUAUUUUGUCUUUCCAUGAUGUGAAGAAGCAACACAGUGACCCGAAACAAAAAAGCUAGAUUUGUCAUAUUUUGACUCACGUAAAGAUAUGCAAAGAAUUUACGUUUAUUUUCACCUUUUCAUAGAAACCAUGAAAAAUCAGAGUUGAAAGCUGCCAACUCAACGCGCAUAAUCAUCUUCACAGUUUGCUGACCAAACACCUACAGCAGAGGACGGACUGGGAAACGUGGCUGUUUCCCAAAGCUAAUGACAUAUUUUCUGCACUUCUUUGCCAAUCCUUAGGCUUGUCGGAGCAGUAGAGGUUAUGUUGUCUUUGCAGAUUUCUAAGUUCUUAGAAAGGGAUUUUUACAAUCACGCCAGAGAUAAAAACAAAGCCUGAAACUGGCUUUAAAUGUCCUGAGAGUAAAAUACGACCGAAAACCAUUUUGCUUCCCGGCAGAUUUUUUUUACAUAAGUAAAUAUCACUAACGCCAUAAACACCCUUUGUUCAUCCCUGAUGCCAGUUCGAUCCCAUUUUACUCACCAACAUCCCAGAGCGCCAGGUGAGCAGCCGGAAUCACUAGUGCUAUCCGCCAGCAAGACAAAGCCUUGCAGGUUAACCUGCUCUCUUCCCUCUCCUCUGACCCUAAAUCAGCACUUCAUGCGUCUCCGUUACGGUUUUAUGUUUAAGACCUCGGUCACUAAAGGCUCUGACACACGUCCUCCUGCGGUGCCCCCAGGGCCAUGCGAUCACUGCGCUGCUGAACCAGCCCAGCGGCUUCACCCAGCGCGAGCGACGCGGCAGCUGUCCGCAGAGAGCAGCAAUGAGCCUGACGGCGAGCAGCAGCGGCCAAGCAGCCUCGAAGGGGCAGAUGUGAUGCUGAAGUCCCGAAGCCUUUCGCAAGCUGGUCUGUGCCCCUUUUGUGACCGCUGCCGACUCCUGUCCUGGAACCAUCCGAAUUCCAGCUUUCCUGAAAGCGGUUUCUUUCUUGGCGUGGUGGGCAGAGGGACUGAAAAAGCGAGGAGGGAAGACAGAAAGCAGGUCUGGGCUAUUAAACUGUGUCUAAACUGCUGCCAUGUCCGUUCACUGUCCCUUACCGCUGCUUUUUCCUCCCGGGUCUCCUGUGAGCCAGAGCAGGGACGCAGCGGGUAG